CCGAGAAAUUUGACCGGAGUGAGAUGGUUGGGCAGGCAGGUGAAUAAAUAAAGACUGACAGAACCAGAGAAGGAGAGAGAAACUUAAGCAAAAUCAGAGCAUAUCAGAGAGAGAGAGAAAGCGACAUAAGGAAGAAGGUAAUCUUUUCUCACUGAGAAAAAACGUCUGCUGAAUUUUUUUUUUGUUCAUUGUUAGCGUUGUUUCUUCGUCUGUUGUUUUCUGUGAAAAUUGAUAUUUUCUAUGGUGUUUGUAUUGAGAUUUGCGUCUUUCUGAGUCAGUAGUGGUGUAG
Molecule: long non-coding RNA, 289 nt
Filed under: Linum usitatissimum (flax)
Lineage: Eukaryota; Viridiplantae; Streptophyta; Magnoliopsida; Malpighiales; Linaceae
Description: long non-coding RNA (LUSI_LNC000852)
Source: RNAcentral